RNAcentral lists this ribosomal RNA (675 nucleotides) under uncultured bacterium. RNAcentral describes it as "bacterial SSU rRNA". It matches the Rfam family "Bacterial small subunit ribosomal RNA", at positions 135 to 809 of the family's 1533-position model. The record is from RNAcentral.
ACAGGGGGAUAACACUGAGAAAUUGGUACUAAUACCCCAUAACAUCAGGACCGGCAUCGGUUCUGGUUGAAAACUCCGGUGGUUAUGGAUGGGCAUGCGUUGUAUUAGCUGGUUGGUGAGGUAACGGCUCACCAAGGCAACGAUACAUAGGGGGACUGAGAGGUUAACCCCCCACAUUGGUACUGAGACACGGACCAAACUCCUACGGGAGGCAGCAGUGAGGAAUAUUGGUCAAUGGACGCAAGUCUGAACCAGCCAUGCCGCGUGCAGGAAGACGGCUCUAUGAGUUGUAAACUGCUUUUGUACGAGGGUAAACGCUCUUACGCGUAAGAGCCUGAAAGUAUCGUACGAAUAAGGAUCGGCUAACUCCGUGCCAGCAGCCGCGGUAAUACGGAGGAUCCAAGCGUUAUCCGGAUUUAUUGGGUUUAAAGGGUGCGUAGGCGGUUUGAUAAGUUAGAGGUGAAAUACCGGUGCUUAACACCGGAACUGCCUCUAAUACUGUUGAACUAGAGAGUAGUUGCGGUAGGCGGAAUGUAUGGUGUAGCGGUGAAAUGCUUAGAGAUCAUACAGAACACCGAUUGCGAAGGCAGCUUACCAAACUAUAUCUGACGUUGAGGCACGAAAGCGUGGGGAGCAAACAGGAUUAGAUACCCUGGUAGUCCACGCAGUAAACGA